AUUGAACGCUGGCGGAAUGCUUUACACAUGCAAGUCGAACGGCAGCACGGGGCAACCUGGUGGCGAGUGGCGAACGGGUGAGUAAUACAUCGGAACGUGCCCAAUCGUGGGGGAUAACGUAGCGAAAGUUACGCUAAUACCGCAUACGAUCUACGGAUGAAAGCGGGGGAUCGCAAGACCUCGCGCGAAUGGAGCGGCCGAUGUCAGAUUAGGUAGUUGGUGGGGGUAAAGGCUCACCAAGCCGACGAUCUGUAGCUGGUCUGAGAGGACGACCAGCCACACUGGGACUGAGACACGGCCCAGACUCCUACGGGAGGCAGCAGUGGGGAAUUUUGGACAAUGGGCGCAAGCCUGAUCCAGCCAUUCCGCGUGCAGGAUGAAGGCCUC
This 387-nucleotide ribosomal RNA is filed under the name uncultured bacterium. RNAcentral's name for it is "bacterial SSU rRNA". It matches the Rfam family "Bacterial small subunit ribosomal RNA", at positions 29 to 418 of the family's 1533-position model. The record is from RNAcentral.